AGAUACUAGGGCAAUCUGGCUGUGACAUCUGUUACCCCAUUGAUCACCAGGGUUGAUUCAGCUCAUCUGGCUGGCUAGGCAAGUGUUCCCUUCCUGCCUCACUGCUCCAUGUGCAUCCCUCCAGAAGCUGUGUGCUGAGUUGUAGAGAACUACCUUCUCGAAUAGGGGAGGACCAUUUUUUUGAUCAAGAAUAUAAGAGUAACUGCUGUCCUCUGCUAGAACCUCCAAAACAAGAUCUCAAGGUCCAAAAAGCAAAGGUCAAUUGUUCUCUUUGAUACGUGGAUGAUAACAC
Molecule: unclassified non-coding RNA, 292 nt
Organism: Ictidomys tridecemlineatus (thirteen-lined ground squirrel)
Lineage: Eukaryota; Metazoa; Chordata; Mammalia; Rodentia; Sciuridae
Gene: 7SK
Rfam family: 7SK RNA
About the family: 7SK was discovered as an abundant small nuclear RNA in the mid-70s but a possible function has only recently been suggested. Two independent studies have found that 7SK RNA binds the CDK9/cyclin T complex (known as elongation factor P-TEFb). P-TEFb activates transcription by phosphorylating the C-terminal domain of RNA polymerase II.
Source: Ensembl